GGAAUCUUGGACAAUGGGCGCAAGCCUGAUCCAGCCACGCCGCGUGAGCGAUGAAGGCCCUAGGGUUGUAAAGCUCUUUCACCCGUGAAGAUAAUGACGGUAGCGGGAGAAGAAGCCCCGGCUAACUCCGUGCCAGCAGCCGCGGUAAUACGGAGGGGGCUAGCGUUGUUCGGAAUUACUGGGCGUAAAGCGCGCGUAGGCGGGCUGUUAAGUCGGGGGUGAAAUCCCGGGGCUCAACCCCGGAACUGCCUCCGAUACUGGCAGCCUAGAGGACGGGAGAGGCGAGUGGAAUGCCGAGUGUAGAGGUGAAAUUCGUAGAUAUUCGGCGGAACACCCGUGGCGAAGGCGGCUCGCUGGUCCGUUUCUGACGCUGAGGCGCGAAAGCGUGGGGAGCAAAC
This 398-nucleotide ribosomal RNA is filed under the name uncultured bacterium. RNAcentral describes it as "bacterial SSU rRNA". It matches the Rfam family "Bacterial small subunit ribosomal RNA", at positions 358 to 773 of the family's 1533-position model. The record is from RNAcentral.